AGUUCGAGCGGUAGAGAGAAGCUUGCUUCUCUUGAGAGCGGCGGACGGGUGAGUAAUGCCUAGGAAUCUGCCUAGUGGUGGGGGAUAACGUUCGGAAACGGACGCUAAUACCGCAUACGUCCUACGGGAGAAAGCGGGGGAUCUUCGGACCUCGCGCCAUUAGAUGAGCCUAGGUCGGAUUAGCUAGUUGGUGAGGUAAUGGCUCACCAAGGCGACGAUCCGUAACUGGUCUGAGAGGAUGAUCAGUCACACUGGAACUGAGACACGGUCCAGACUCCUACGGGAGGCAGCAGUGGGGAAUAUUGGACAAUGGGCGAAAGCCUGACCCAGCCAUGCCGCGUGUGUGAAGAAGGUCUUCGGAUUGUAAAGCACUUUAAGUUGGGAGGAAGGGCAGUAACCUAAUACGUUAUUGUUUUGACGUUACCGACAGAAUAAGCACCGGCUAACUUCGUGCCAGCAGCCGCGGUAAUACGAAGGGUGCAAGCGUUAAUCGGAAUUACUGGGCGUAAAGCGCGCGUAGGUGGUUCAGUAAGUUGGAAGUGAAAUCCCCGGGCUCAACCUGGGAACUGCUUUCAAAACUGCUGAGCUAGAGUACGGUAGAGGGUGGUGGAAUUUCCUGUGUAGCGGUGAAAUGCGUAGAUAUAGGAAGGAACACCAGUGGCGAAGGCGACCACCUGGACUGAUACUGACACUGAGGUGCGAAAGCGUGGGGAGCAAACAGGAUUAGAUACCCUGGUAGUCCACGCCGUAAACGAUGUCAACUAGCCGUUGGGAGUCUUGAACUCUUAGUGGCGCAGCUAACGCAUUAAGUUGACCGCCUGG
RNAcentral lists this ribosomal RNA (822 nucleotides) under uncultured bacterium. Its description in RNAcentral is "bacterial SSU rRNA". It matches the Rfam family "Bacterial small subunit ribosomal RNA", at positions 60 to 876 of the family's 1533-position model. The record is from RNAcentral.